CACAUCUCUGCUUUAGCCUCACACUUUGAAUAUUCUUAUUUUUGUGGAUGCAACUGCUUUUUGUGUGAGCAUAUCUACAGCUUCAUUAACCUUUAUUCCUUUGAAACUCAGGUUCCUCCUUAGGUUUAAUUUAUGUCUUUCUGCUUUUGAAUUUUCAAAGAUGGGCUUGAAUAACAAUGGGAGCAUUUGGGAAAAUCUAAUAAUUAUCCCAGCUUGGCCACUACCAAAUUGCAUAAUUGCAAGCAAAUUAUCCUACGUUGCUGAAUCUCUAACUUACUGUCAGGAACUGAU
RNAcentral lists this long non-coding RNA (291 nucleotides) under Homo sapiens (human). RNAcentral describes it as "HSALNT0030616". The record is from RNAcentral. Lineage: Eukaryota; Metazoa; Chordata; Mammalia; Primates; Hominidae.